AAUGAAAUGCCUGAUAAAAGGAUUAUCUUGAUAGGAUAAAUCAUGUAUUACUUACUUUCAUUA
Molecule: transfer RNA, 63 nt
Filed under: Oecanthus rufescens
Lineage: Eukaryota; Metazoa; Arthropoda; Insecta; Orthoptera; Gryllidae
Description: tRNA-Ile
Source: RNAcentral